GCCCGCUUGGCUCAGUGGUAGAGCGUGUCACUAGUAGAGACUAGGUGAUGACAAGGUCAUCAGUUCGAUUCUGAUAGUGGGCA
This 83-nucleotide transfer RNA is filed under the name Coniochaeta pulveracea. It matches the Rfam family "tRNA". Rfam says of the family: Transfer RNA (tRNA) molecules are approximately 80 nucleotides in length. Their secondary structure includes four short double-helical elements and three loops (D, anti-codon, and T loops). The record is from Rfam by way of RNAcentral. Lineage: Eukaryota; Fungi; Ascomycota; Sordariomycetes; Coniochaetales; Coniochaetaceae.